GUGGGGGCGGAGCCAGCAUCUCCAGUGUAGCGGCAGACUUGCAGUCCACAGUGCGGGAGCUCUUAGUGGUUUAGCAGGAUCAGGCCAAGAAGAAUCGAGAACACACCCGGAAGUUGGAGAGACCCGAAGAAUCCAGCCAAGGGCCUGGAUCCCACGGCAGUGUCCCGCAGAAGUCCAGCUAAAGGCCUACAGUCCAAGGCAAUGUCCUCCACGAGUCCAGCCAGAGGCCUAGGUCCCACAGCAGUGUCUCAUCCAAGUCCGUAUCGGGGAUCGGCACCGGGAAGGCCCAAGGGCCAGUGGUGGAAGCUAAAAGCCUGCACUGUCGGGGAGAAGGCUCUGCGCCCCCAGCCGAGGGACCUGCCCUGGAGCCAGGAAGCGAUACUCAAGGCGAAGACCAUCCAUCGUGACCAUGAGGACCUGACAUGGCAAGCUUCUCCAAGAAAACUGGAGCAUGCAAGCUUCCCCUCCAGUUCUAUUUUUAUGCUGUUGCAAUAACCCUCAGGUGGGUCUUCCACACCCAGACCACGCUGACUCAGUUCAGCUGGGCGUUCCUAGUUCACCAUUAGUUAGUCCACCCCACCCACUAAAAAAGAAAAACAGAAAUACGUACUGCAAUAAAUAGUUUGCCUG
RNAcentral lists this long non-coding RNA (630 nucleotides) under Heterocephalus glaber (naked mole-rat). Its description in RNAcentral is "lncRNA (ENSHGLG00000049732.1)". Lineage: Eukaryota; Metazoa; Chordata; Mammalia; Rodentia; Bathyergidae. The record is from RNAcentral.